CCUACGGGUGGCUGCAGUGAGGAAUAUUGGUCAAUGGUCGGGAGACUGAACAAGCCAAGCCGCGUGAGGGAGGAAGGUACAGAGUAUCGUAAACCUCUUUUGUCAGGGCACAAAGACUGGGACGCGUCCCCGGAUGAGUGUACCUGAAGAAAAAGCAUCGGCUAACGCCGUGCCAGCAGCCGCGGUAAUACGGAGGAUGCGAGCGUUAUCCGGAUUUAUUGGGUUCAAAGGUUGCGCGGGCGGUCUGGUAAGUCAGCGGUAAAAGCCCGGGGCGCAACCCCGGCCCGCCGUUGAAACUGGCAGUCUCGAGUUGGAGAGAAGUAUGCGGAAUGCGCGGGGUAGCGGUGAAAUGCAUAGAUAGCGCGCAGAACUCCGAUUGCGAAGGCAGCAUGCCGGCUCCACACUGAUGCUGAGGCACGAAAGCGUGGGUAUCGAACAGGAUUAGAUACCCUGGUAGUC
RNAcentral lists this ribosomal RNA (459 nucleotides) under uncultured bacterium. RNAcentral describes it as "partial 16S ribosomal RNA". It matches the Rfam family "Bacterial small subunit ribosomal RNA", at positions 338 to 795 of the family's 1533-position model. The record is from RNAcentral.